Ictidomys tridecemlineatus (thirteen-lined ground squirrel) is the source of this 4599-nucleotide long non-coding RNA. RefSeq lists it as uncharacterized. The record is from RefSeq and is a predicted model, not a curated record. Lineage: Eukaryota; Metazoa; Chordata; Mammalia; Rodentia; Sciuridae.
GAGUCCUGAAUCCUCAGGUCCCGUGACCACUUCCUCCUUGAAAUCCUCGAUCCUCAGGCUUCGGUGACAGAGGCUACUAUCCCAUCCCUCCUGAAUGUCCUUUAGGGCAGCCGCGCCCCCCAAUAGAGGACUUGGUUUCCCAGUUUCCAUGCAGUUAGGAUGGGCGAGUGGUUAAACUCUGGUCAGUAAGCAUCAGUGGAAAGUGUUGUGCGAAAUUCUGGGAAAUCUCCUUAAAGAGUAUUUCCUUCUCCACCCCAGCCUCCAUCAGCUGCCUGGAAUUUGAAUGUGAGGUCUGGGGUUUCAACAGCUAUCUUGGAGGUAGCGGAACUAGAAGCUGAAAUGAACCUGGGCUCUGGACUACUGACCGGAUCAACUUUGGUCCUGUUUAAACCAGUUUUUCUGGGUUUUCUGAGGCUGAACUACACCCUAAGUGAAACUUCUGUGACCACCAAGUCUUCUCACUGCUGCGCUCCUACAAGAGUCGAGAGAUGAAGCUAUCAGAAUAGUAUAAUAGAAAACAUUGGCAGGAGUGGGAAAUGAUAAAGGAGUGCCUAGAAGUGGACAAGAAGCCCACAAACCAGGACACCAGUUACACACCAAGCUAUGCUCAGGAAGUAUGGCCACCAGUGCUGUGAGGAACAGAUCCGGGGGACCAGGAACACAAUUGAUGGCUGGGCCCGGAGAGGCCACAGGUUUGGUCUUCAGACCAUGUGGUGACACAGGAAGAGAGAGGCCUUUCCAACCUAGUGUUUAAAGACACAACAACAGGGUAAGCAUUCUGGUUAUUUUUAGUUAAAGAAAAACAGCCUUUUCCAAGGGCAACAAAGUGAACUAAAGGUCAGAAGGAAGCUGGGUGUGGGCUUCUCACAGGCUCCUGCUCCAAAACCUGGAAGUGCGGAAAGAGAGCCCUCCCAGGAACUCUGGGGUGCCUGGAACAGCAGAAGGAUUCCUCUGGUGGGGCUGGGCACAGCUGCCAGACCAACCUUGGUCACUGGAUUGGUUUGCAUGGGCUCUAGGGCGAUUUCCACGGGCCAGUCAUUUGACAUGAUUAACACUAGUAUUCUUUGGGGCAUUACAUUAAGGAAUGAUACAGGGAGCCAGAAGAGUUGGCUUAUUCGGUUGGAUUCUGAAUCACAAUCAGGAAAUAGUCUUUAUCUGCAAAAGAGAGAAAUGGAAAAACAAAUCACUAAAUGUAAAAUGGCAGAAAAACAUAAUAGAAAGCAAGUAACUCCUUAAGUUACCACAAAGAGGGAGAAGGAGAAGAACGCUUUAAUAAAAAGCAUCAAUGCCAGGGUAUUUCCUAUUGCUCAGAAACAAGAUAAACUCGCCAGCUUCCUGUGGGGGCUCCUGCUGGUGGGGUUGCUGGGAAGUGAUCGCUCCCUUCAGAGACAGCAGGCCCUCAGAGGAGCCACCCAGUCUUCUUUUAGGUACUUGACAGCAGUUACUAGUUUACUGACUGUCUCAAACAAUAAAAAGGGCUGGGGAUACAGCUUAGUGGUAAAGCAUCCCUUGGUUCAAUCACCAGUACAAAAAAAAAAAAAAAAAAAGAGAGAGAAAAAUCAUAGGAAGUCCAAGUCCUCAGAGGUGAGCCUGACCAUCCUUAGUGUACAGAAGAAAAAUUAAAGAAGCAGAAAGUUUUAACUCUGCCCACUUCACAAUCAAAUCACAAACACUUACAAAGGCUUACAUGUACCAGGACCUGGGUGAACUGUUUUUCACUGGUACUUUGGGUAGAGUGCUUGCCUUGCAUGCACAAGGCCAUGGUUUCAAUCCCCAGCCCACCCGCCCAUAUCCUCAAGGCCAAAAAAAAAAAAGAAAAGAAAAGAAAUAUGUAUAUAUAUGGAAGAGAGGGAAGAAGGUUUGGCCUUAUGCUCUGAAACCCUCUGGUCUGCUGCCCCCCUGUUGGACAUGAAAGAGUGGCAGGAUCUCGGUCAUUUGUGGCUGCUCAGAUUCAAGUCUAAAGUUUGGAUCUUCCCAAGAUGACAGGAUGUUGCAACUGGGAAGAAACAGAAACAAAGGGACUACCAGUUUCAUGGCUAAGUAAUCUGCAUACAUAAAAGAAUGCUAUUAAAAUCAGAAAUAAUAAAAAGCCACUGAUAAAAACAGACACAAUCAACAAUACCAAUGUCUUUUAUAUCAAAUUACUAGUUCCAAGUCCUAUAAUACCAUGGCAAGUGCUCUGUGGGAGGUUGUAUUUUGAAGCUUGUUUAUGCUGAGUCAAUGUGGCUUUAUAUAAGUAAGGUUAAAAACUGAAAACCAAAUCUGUCUGAAAACGCUCUUUAGUGUGAAUUGUUCUGGGUCAGGAUGGGGUGAAAUUGGUACUUCUAUGGAGAGUCAAUUUCUGAAACCACCUACUGCUAUUACUGGCCUGGGAAGCAGAUUCAAGGCUUGACCAGGAAGUCAAUCAGAGGGGCAGGAAGGAACUGUUCCUGGCAGGGCUGCUCCAGGCUGCUCAGUGUGGGGUGCUAACUACAGUCCUUAUGGCAAUCCAGUCUAAUGCCUCCAAGGCUCUGGUCAGUGGCUCCUGCCUACGGGAGUUCUGGCACCAACACCUAAUAUUUUUUUCUUGGACACAUCAAAGUGUGUCAAAUCAUUGAUUUUCAUCCUGAAUACCAUGUCCCACAAACAUCCCUGACCCCAUUCCCAUUGUUGAUUCCACCUCUGUCCCAUAGUGGUGGGGUGUCAGUUAGGAAGCCAUUCCUUUAGUUAUUCAACAAAUAUUUAUUAAUAGAUAUUUGUUAAAUGUUUACUAUGCUUAGUAUAAAUAUUUACUAAAUGUUUCCAAGCCCCUGCCCUCAUGGAACUUACUGUCUAGUGGAGAAAACAGACUUAAAAUUGCACACAAGCAGCUGGAUGGCCAAGUGACAAGGAAGGAUGGAAUAUUCCCACAGCAAGAUAGCAUGUGGAAGGGCCCCAGGGAGAAGGAUGCAGGCUUUGAGAGCAACAGUGUGGCUGAGGCACAGCAGUGUGGGAAUCGGAAGAAACACCCGUUUUAAGGUGACGGUAUUGUACCACGCACUCUCCAGAAUAACACCCAGUAUGUGUGUGUGUGCCCGGCUAGGGGAGAGGUGAAGGUGAGCAAGAGAACAUUCACACUCUCUGCAGGACUUGUGCUGGCCCCGUGAGCGCUGGCCACUUUAAGGCCGUGGAGCCUGAGCCUGCGAACCCCUAACCUGGGAGCUGCCCAUCCCAGACUCAAGCACAUUCAUAGCUUCUGAAUGCCCACAGGUCCUCAAGGCCAAGUUUGAGAAGCUUGGCCUGAGACACACAUGACUGGGGGCUUUCACGCAACUCUGCCCUUUCAGGAGACAUUCUUAGAAGCUUCAGGUUGACAGACACUUUUCAUGGAGAGUUUGUCUAUGUGGCAACCAUGUCAUUUGCCCUUGCCGCACACUUUAAACUCCCAGAUGUGUCAAUGAGGAGCCCAGAUCUGCUGACACACAGAGUAACUCAAGGGAUGAUUCCUGGGUCCACCUUGAGGGCUGUGCAGAUGUGUCCUCCACAGUCAUACAGCAAGAAGUUUUGGGGGAUUUCAGUUCAAAUUUGAUUCCAAGGCUUUCUGCCCCAACCCAAGCCUAGACAUUUAUCCAGACAAAGUCUCAGAGGACCACAGCAGCAUAGUACCUGACUUGACAUUUUAUAGAUGUGGUUAUAGAGAUGUUCCAUGACUUGCCCAUAUAAGAAUUCACCGGAAAAAAAGAUUCCGUGCCUCCCCCAACUUUUUUCCCUAACAGAAUCAGGCGUCAGGGGCUGGGGUCAUGGCUCAAUGGUAGAGCGCUUGCCUUGCAUGUGUGAGGCACUGGGUUCGAUCCUCAGCAUCACAUAAUAAAAUAAAUAAAAUAAAGUUAUAAAAAAAUAGAAUCAGGCAUCAGUUGGUAUGAGAUGCAUUAAAUAUGUAAGGCUUUUUUUUUUUUUUUUUAAUUCCUCUUAAGUUACCUUUAUGUACUCUGUGACUGACUUGCUCUAUCUCCACCCUCUAGAGACUGUCCCAGGGAGGCUGGGGGCCCUGUGACUAGCUUUAUGGCUCUCUUUUUCCUAUCUUUCCAGACAACUGGACUGGGUUAAGAACAGACCUUGGAACAGAACCAAUGCUACCCUGCUGCUGGUAGUGGCUGACUGCCUAUCAAAUUCCCAGAAUUCUGCAGUGUUGCCAAGUGCAGGGACACUCAUAUCCCCAGUCUACCCACUGUGCUCCUUCAUCCAGGACCUACCCAACAAUCAUACCGCCCCCUGCCCUAAACACCUCUGCUCAUAGGAUCAAGUCCUCUCAGAUGAGUUUGGUGUCUGAGGCUCCUUUUAAGUUGGAUCAGUCUCACUUUCUACACAGGUUCUGACACUCUAGACAAGCAGUUACGGCAACCUAGCUGUAUCAUAAAGUGGGAACUGGGCCUGGGGAUGUGGCUCAAGCGGUAGCGCGCUCGCCUGGCAUGCGUGCGGCCCAGGUUCAUCCUCAGCACCACAUACAAACAAAGAUGUUGUGUCCACUGAAAAUUAAAAAAUAAAUAUUAAAAUUCUCUCUCUCUCAAGAAAAAAAAAAAAACACAACUUCAUAAAGUGGGAACUAACCUACACAUUCAACUAUGGCUCAGGCAAAACAGA